GGCAGUUGGGUGUUUCUUGGAAAGAUCACUCCCCGUUGCUUUUCCCAUCUUUGCUUUUCCCAUCCUUUGCUUUUCCCAUCCUUCGCUCCUCCAUCCGCGGCCGUUACCCCAGCCCUCGAGCACCAGAAAUAGAAACUCGGAGGCUGGCGUCGAGGCUAGACAUGGACUCCGCGCCUGGCCCCUUCCAGAUCCCAGUUUUCUAAAGUGACUUCGCACCAAAGUCCGGGCUCCCUAAUUUAUGCGUUUUUAGACCCUUAAGCAUCAUUUUGUGGGCAACCAAACGGGCACUUCCAAAUUAGCUCAAAGUAUCCAAGCCCAGAGAAGAGAGAAAACACACAUACACUGAUAAAUACGCAGAUGCUAACUUGUAAGUAUUCUGUUUUUCCUCUGUGGGGAUGGAAAUUGAACAAGGGAAAGAGGGGGAACAUUUUUAUUUCCUAAAAUGUUUCCUACUGAGUUUGCACUUGUAAAGUUUUUUCUGCUUUCUUUCCCUUUGUGUGUGUUCUUACUCUCUUUCUCUCAGUAAAUAUCUCUGACUUAAGUUUAUUCUCCCAUCACUACCGUGAUCAAAAAGAAGAGAAAGACAAAAUAUCAAAACUUCCAAAUAUUUCUAGUUGUUCGCAACGGGUCUUUUUGUUGUUGUUGGAAAAAUAUAACCUGUUCAAGCGAUAUGAAAAUGGAUGCAGAAAUCAGGUCUUUUAUGAACUUGAAACACAUCGGCUAGGUCUUCAUCCUCACCUGCACUGGAAUUACCUACUUAAGAAAAACAAACUAAUGAUACACAAAGAAGCACUUAUGUAUGUAUUUAAACACUUGCUGGGAUCCUUCUGAAAACUACAGUUUGAAUUUUACGUUUCCGGUUUAGUUUAAAUUGUAUUGUUUACUUGUAUGUAUUAGCUUAAAUAAAAUAAUAGUCAUUUCAAAUGUUUCUCAGAGACAACAGGGUAAGUAAAAAAUAGUUGUGUUAUGACAUCUGUGAAUAUAAAAGUUAUUUGUGGCCCAUUAUAUUUUAUUUUUCAAGUUCAAACGUAUUUCAAAUAUGAAACGCAUUAUCAUAAUCUCCAUAUUGAUUAGUUGUCCAAGUUGAAAAGUGUUUACAAUUUUAAUUUUUUCCAGAUGAUUAUUACUCUGUUUUCAGGCUAUAAAUUUCAUCUCAUGUAAUUUUCUUUGUAGAACUUUGACAUAGCAGUUAACAUCAAGUGGUUGUACUACAAUUUUUGCUUAUUUUGUUUUUCAACUGCAUUGGGUCCUGUUAUAAGUGCAUAUACAUCUGGAAUGCUUCCAUCUUUAAAUUAAAAGCACUUUAUCACAUCUGAAGGUUCUCUGCAGAGAGUCACUUUCUGACUGCUUAGGAACUUGAUAAGCCAAAUAGUAUUCCAUCACUGUAGGUAAACAGUUCUGGGAAAGAAAAAUCUACAGUCUUUGACAAUUCUUCCUGUCAAUUGUUUGUACCUCAUUCUAGAAAUUACAUAUCUUCAUGCCGGAAACACUAUUUGGAUGCGUGUGGAUGAUUCUGAAAAUUGAUAUAGUCUGAAGGAUGUAUAUGUACAUUUAUAUAUAGACACAAUAUAACCCAAUUGAUAUUCCAUUGAAGCUUUGUAUUCAUUUCAUCAGAUUAUCGUGUACCUAAAUUAUGUGUGGAAAUUUAUACUUAGUAGAUUCUCAAAUAUUAUUGGCUAAACUGCAUUUCACAGGAAAUGUAUUUCUCAGGAGUGUUUUCUCAUUGUUUUCCUUAAAAAACAAUGCUGGCACCCAGCAAAAUAAUAAAAUUAAAAAAUAAAAUAAAAUGCAAAUACUGCCUAAGGGAAUACAGUGAAAAGAAUUGGUUCUCACUCUCCUAUCCUUCAAGGCUCCUAGUUCUUCGCCUCAGAGGAAUUUGGUGUUACCUGUUUCUUUUGGAAUGGCCUGUCCAUCUAGAAGCAUACUACCAUUUUACACACAAAAGAUAGCAUGCUCUAUGUGAUUUGGUACCUUGCCUUUUUCAUAGUUUAGGUUUUUAUAGUUUCACACAUUGCAACAUUGAAAACAGACGAAGAUAGGCUGUGGCAGAUACAGAAAUUUUUUCUAGACAAAAAGACAAGAUUUCUCUAGACAAAACACUCCUGGCUUUCUGGCAAAAAUGUGGUAUUUGUUGAAAAUCUCUGAUGUGUUAGAUAGCCUUAGUGCCAAAAAUAUUUAGCAAAAAAAUUCUAAGGAAAGAGCCUUCUGCAGUUUGGAUUUGCUCUUGGCAGACAGAAGCUCAGCGAAAGGGACCUGAGAGGAGUUGAGAAACUUCUGACAUACCCACUUUGAAGUGGGGGUCCAGCCAGUACUUAGAGGGAAAUAUUGUUUAUCUAGGUGGUGAAUAGGUUUUCAGUGGGUCUUGUAUUUCCUCAUCAAGACUGUUUGAAAAUAUAACUUUCUGCUUGAUACCCAAAAACGUAAGUGCCUUUUAGAACUGAGACACUUGCUACAUUUGCAAUUAGUUUAAACUAGUUGUGCAACAAUUUGAUUAAUAAGUUUUAUGUUGUGGAAGUAGCCUUAAAAUAUUGUCUUUGCAGUUGGGAAGGAAUAAAGAAACAUCUUAAGGAUACUAGUAUUUUGCAGCAAAAUUUGAGGUUAUAAAGAGGAAAAUAAAACUGCCAUAGAGAUGAAACACAAAGUUUAUUUGAAUUAUUUUACUUUUUUUUGCUAAAUUCAUCAGUUUCUGAGAUCUGGUUCUCAUU
RNAcentral lists this long non-coding RNA (2705 nucleotides) under Homo sapiens (human). Its description in RNAcentral is "HSALNT0399942". Lineage: Eukaryota; Metazoa; Chordata; Mammalia; Primates; Hominidae. The record is from RNAcentral.